Psammomys obesus (fat sand rat) is the source of this 347-nucleotide long non-coding RNA. RefSeq lists it as uncharacterized. The record is from RefSeq and is a predicted model, not a curated record. NCBI's taxonomy places the organism in Eukaryota, Metazoa, Chordata, Mammalia, Rodentia, Muridae. The transcript is spliced from 4 exons.
UAUACACAUGGAUGCUCCUCCCUCAACUGCUAUCAUAAAAACAGUCAUCUCUGUCCUGACUAAUUAUCCCAGAUCUCUGCAAGCAGACAAGAUGCUGCCUCGCAUGGCCCUCACCAGCCUGUCCUGGAUGCUGCUGUUUCCUGCUGCUUCUGUCUCAAGUGCAAGGUGGAAGAUGCCAAGGAAGAUGUGCCCUCUUCAUGCAUGAGCUGUCCCCAACGGCUCCCAAUCCUCUGGUCCCUGUCGCUAUGCCUUGUUUAGGAUGAUUAAAUCCAGGUUGGAUGUAAAUCCAUUCUCCAGUGAAGUCUCAGUCUGUGACUCAUUCUGCCUCUCACUUAGCUGGCCUGCCA